AGAUGUCAAAUUUGGGGUCCCCAUCAAAUCAGAGUCUGCAAGAUAUAUUUUGUAUGUCCAAUACUUUUUGCUUGAUGCUCUGAUCGAACCUUUAAUUAAUUAAUUAAUUUAUUUAUUCUGAGCUCAGUGCUGCUUUUACUUGCUUGCUCAAGUAAAUAUUUAUCACUUUGCUAUUGGUCACUUAUUUUUACUUUUAAUUUGGGCUGUUUUUGUGAAUUUCAUUCGAUUCUGAGUUUUUUCAAUGAGAAGUUGUUUUUCGUUAAGUUAUUGGCUGAUUUUUGGGCCAAAACAUUGUUUUUGCUUUAGACAGUUGUUGCUAUCCCUCUACCUGAUCUGGGAUGCAGUGGGAAGAAUUAUAUUGGUUUGAACCCAUCCUGCUCCUUUCUGGCAUUUUUUAUAUUUAUGACACUGACCAAAUUUUGGGUGGAUUCAAAGGAAAUUCUGUGAAUUUAGAAGUUCUUUAGAGUGCCUUGUUAUCACAUUAGGGGAGCGAUACCCAUGCCAGUUAACGGUAUGGAACUUUCUCACCAUUCGAUGAGGAUUUUAGGUCCCCGUCAUUAUUCUUCCGAAGGUGAUGUCUUUCUUCCUUUUUCUUCUGUACAGUGUUUAGAUAGUAUUUGUUUUCUUGCUUUGCUGAGAAACCUUCUUUUUGAUUCAGAGCCGCCUCCUCCUGGUGUAACACUUGAAAUUAAUGGGUAUGAGACACGUCUCAAUGUUACCAAUUAUGAUUACAGUCGAAGGGUUUUUGGGGCAACAUUGGAUAGUAUUAGUCGCUCUAGAUCUGGCCGCUAUAAUAGUAGUAAUAGACAUUACUGAUGCUUAUCUUGUAUCAUAGAAAAUUGUUUGUUGUUUUAAUUGUAAAAGUAGCAUAUCUGUCAUUGUUCUGGACUGUGAAACCUGAUAAGAGGCGGUUAUUUAUUGUUAACACUUGUCCUGUAAUUAAUUGAAAUGUCUUUUUGAUUGCUGAUAUAGUUAAAUUAAUUUUAUCAUGCUGCUGCAGUAUUGGUUUGUAGACUUUUUGUUGUCAUUAUUAUUAUUAUUUGGGAAUGAACAGGAAAACUGAUGAUUUAUGUAUUUGUGUUUAUUAUAUAUAUGUUUAUUUGUGUGCUUUCAUACAUGAAUAACCCCAAUCUUAAUUUGUAAACUUCUCCUGACUUCUUCUUUAUAAAUAGUAAUAUAUCUAUAGAAGUUUCUUCAUUGCUAAAGUAGUUGAUAUCUGGUCGAGAUUGAGAUUGAGAUCUGACUUACUCGAUAAUGUGGAAGAUUAUAGUUCUCAGUAGUUAAGUAUAAAACAUAUAGUAAACAUGCAAAUAUUCAAGUAAACUGAAAAGGGUUAGUCAGGUAUCUUGAUUGGUUUAGUUCAUAAUUUCCUGAUUUACUCCCAGGGACUGUUGGAGAGGGACUUCCUUUGAUUUGUAGAUGUCAAAUUUGGGGUCCCCAUCAAAUCAGAGUCUGCAAGAUAUAUUUUGUAUGUCCAAUACUUUUUGCUUGAUGCUCUGAUCGAACCUUUAAUUAAUUAAUUAAUUUAUUUAUUCUGAGCUCAGUGCUGCUUUUACUUGCUUGCUCAAGUAAAUAUUUAUCACUUUGCUAUUGGUCACUUAUUUUUACUUUUAAUUUGGGCUGUUUUUGUGAAUUUCAUUCGAUUCUGAGUUUUUUCAAUGAGAAGUUGUUUUUCGUUAAGUUAUUGGCUGAUUUUUGGGCCAAAACAUUGUUUUUGCUUUAGACAGUUGUUGCUAUCCCUCUACCUGAUCUGGGAUGCAGUGGGAAGAAUUAUAUUGGUUUGAACCCAUCCUGCUCCUUUCUGGCAUUUUUUAUAUUUAUGACACUGACCAAAUUUU
This 1838-nucleotide long non-coding RNA is filed under the name Citrus sinensis (sweet orange). RNAcentral's name for it is "long non-coding RNA (CSIN_LNC000414)". Lineage: Eukaryota; Viridiplantae; Streptophyta; Magnoliopsida; Sapindales; Rutaceae. The record is from RNAcentral.